CCUGGUGGUUCUAGCGAGGAGCUUCAACCCGAUCCCAUCCCGAACUCGGCCGUUAAACUCCUCAGCGCCAAUGGUACUAUGGCUUAAGCCCUGGGAGAGUAGGUCGCUGCCAGGCCUGCAAAGGACAAACAUCCUCAAUUACGAUAUCAAUCAAAAAACGCCGCGCUCUCUGUGCUAUCGCACGAGAGCGCGGCGUUUUUU
RNAcentral lists this ribosomal RNA (201 nucleotides) under Bradyrhizobium sp. NFR13. The record is from RNAcentral. Lineage: Bacteria; Pseudomonadati; Pseudomonadota; Alphaproteobacteria; Hyphomicrobiales; Nitrobacteraceae.